RNAcentral lists this non-coding RNA (20 nucleotides) under Mus musculus (house mouse). The record is from RNAcentral. Lineage: Eukaryota; Metazoa; Chordata; Mammalia; Rodentia; Muridae.
GCAUGACACCACACUGGGUA